GAUGAACGCUAGCGGCAGGCUUAAUACAUGCAAGUCGUGGGGCAGCAUGGGUAGCAAUACCUGAUGGCGACCGGCAAACGGGUGCGGAACACGUACGCAACCUUCCUUUAAGUGAGGAAUAGCCCAGGGAAACUUGGAUUAAUACCUCGUAACAUUAUGGAGUGGCAUCACUUUAUAAUUAUAGCUCAGGCGCUUAAAGAUGGGCUUGCGGCUGAUUAGGUAGUUGGCGGGGUAACGGCCCACCAAGCCUACGAUCAGUAACUGGUGUGAGAGCACGACCAGUCACACGGGCACUGAGACACGGGCCCGACUCCUACGGGAGGCAGCAGUAAGGAAUAUUGGUCAAUGGACGCAAGUCUGAACCAGCCAUGCCGCGUGGAGGAUGAAGGCCCUCUGGGUUGUAAACUUCUUUUA
This 414-nucleotide ribosomal RNA is filed under the name Saprospiraceae bacterium Ellin7247. Its description in RNAcentral is "bacterial SSU rRNA". It matches the Rfam family "Bacterial small subunit ribosomal RNA", at positions 28 to 438 of the family's 1533-position model. The record is from RNAcentral. Lineage: Bacteria; Pseudomonadati; Bacteroidota; Saprospiria; Saprospirales; Saprospiraceae.